UCAUCUUUAGUGUUAUCAAUAACAAAUAUAUUACAUAGUGAAAUAUUCAUGUAAGCUUUUGAUGAUGGUACAUACGACUAUCCUUACCAUGCCAUAAGAAAAUAAGUUUUAUCAACUAUAAAAUUUGAGUUGUAUAGUUGAUGGUCUAAGAAAACAAAUUAUACCAUUUUCUCGGUUCACUGUGCUUUUAUAAUUGCGUGUUUUAGUUAAUUUAUGAGUAUGGUUUAUAAAUAUCAAUAUAAUACAUUUUCGUAACACAGCAAUGAAACAUAGGUAUCGAUCAUAUAACCGGACAACCUUUAACAAUCACUCCUCUAGCGGUUGGACAUCUAGCUAGAUCACAAUGUUCACCUUGUGUACCCCACCAAUCCAAACUCUUAUCCUCCAUCCCUACCGAGAAGUACAACAAAACCGCCAUGAACGCUACACCAGCGUCCAUCGCAGCUGACAGCACGUAGUUAUACCUUUGCCACCAGCUUUUCCUGUACCGGAACA
Long non-coding RNA from Brassica napus (rape), 495 nucleotides. RefSeq lists it as uncharacterized. The record is from RefSeq and is a predicted model, not a curated record. The transcript is spliced from 2 exons. NCBI's taxonomy places the organism in Eukaryota, Viridiplantae, Streptophyta, Magnoliopsida, Brassicales, Brassicaceae.